Molecule: long non-coding RNA, 1183 nt
Filed under: Salvator merianae (Argentine black and white tegu)
Lineage: Eukaryota; Metazoa; Chordata; Lepidosauria; Squamata; Teiidae
Description: lncRNA (ENSSMRG00000010224.1)
Source: RNAcentral
GUUAUCCAGCUUCCUUCCUUUUGGAAAGCCACUUUUAUGAUUAGUAUGGAACAUACUGGAAAGAAAAGACUGGAGCACCACACUGAGCAUUUGGUGUGAAUAGAAUCACAUAAGCUUAAAGUGUUACAGAUGUGGUUCUCCAUCCCCCGAUGUUGCCAAACUAUAAUUCCCAUCAAUAUCUGCUGAUGGGAAAUGUAAUUUUCCAACCUCUGGGGCUUACACUGGACUUAAACAAAAUGACGUAUGAAGCCAGCCAGAGUGGAUGUGCUUCGAAUCCCUUAAGGGGACAGGUGACCGAAUCGCGAGAACGGAAAAUGGGAGUGGCUGCAGCUCAGUCAGUGAUAGAGUAAACUGCCUGGAAAGCAGAGGACCGCCAGUUCGAUACCCGGCUAGGCAACAGCAAAGCAUUUCUGUAUCUCUGCCAAGUAAACUGCAUAGAUGUGCCCAUGGAGGUGCCCAUGUGGUCAACCAGGAGUCGGCCAUGACUUGGUGGUAUCCGACAAGAACCCAAAAAAGCUGAAGGCGUUGGGGGGAGACGCCCUCGAUGUGGGAAUAUGCUUUCGGCAGCUCGGCUCCCUUAGUGGGCCAGAGACAAGGUGGGAAUGAUACCUGUGCGGAGUACGCGAAGAUGUAUUCUGAGCCCGAAAACGAAAUCUCGAGGGAGGGAAUGAGCCAGAGAGACUGGCAAGCCAAAAAUUGCAUUGAAGCUUCGGUCUCUUUCCUCCGCGAGGGAACACGGGUGAGGUAGCGCAAAAUCUUUGCCUUUCUCUUUUUGCUCCGGAGUGGAGAGAGGAAUGAGGAAAUUGGGAAGGCAAGUGAGGGCAGGAGCUACACAUUGCCACACAGCGCAUGCUCAAACAAGCUGUUCAGUCGCCUUCGUACCAUGCGGGGGGGGGAGGGGAGGAAAGAAGAAGCGGACGCAUGUUUUAUUCGCAGGCAGCCCGCAGAAUUUGGCUUGCGUUGUUUGCAAACAGAUGACGGGCUAAAGAUGCUUUUUGAUCUAAAGCUUCUUCUCANGGCUGGAUAUGAUCAGCAGCAUUUUCACCUGCCUUCUGUUCUCUUUUCCAUGGCUACACUACCUGUGGGAGUAAUUGAUUGUAGCUCAAUGGUAGAACAAGUCCAGAAGUUUCCAGGCUCAGGUAAUGACAAUCCACUUCUGUACCUGCCAAGAAAACUGCAUCAG